RNAcentral lists this ribosomal RNA (115 nucleotides) under Labrus bergylta (ballan wrasse). Lineage: Eukaryota; Metazoa; Chordata; Actinopteri; Labriformes; Labridae. The record is from RNAcentral.
CCUUACCCAUCCCUGCCUCUUGGGGAGUACACGUCCGAUCUCUGAAGCUAAGCAGGGUCGGGCCUGGUUAAUACUUGGAUGGGAGACCGCCUGGGAAUACCAUGUGCUGUAAGCU